AAAACCUCCUGCCGGGUAAGAUGCCUUCAUUAAGUACGAUAUAAUUUGUGUUAGUGUGUGCGAAAUGACGUAAACCGAUCAAUAUAUAACGUAGUGAAAUGCUGUAUACGUUCGACGAAACGGCCAUGAUUAGACCAUAGGCCUAAUCCAAGCCGACGUAGCUUGAACAACGGCCAGCAAGAGAUCAGGCCAUCAGGUAAGGGAGCUUUUUACUAGCGUGCUAUUGGAACCAAAAAUUAUUUUAGACGAUGUGUGAUUAUUUUAGCAUAUACUGAUCACCCGGAAUGUUCAAUGAUCUUUCGUUUUGUAUUUCUUGGUUCAAGUAUUUGCUAAAUAAAGUUACAUUCGGUUUAGAUAAUUUGUCUAGACGUCAGAUUUCAAGUAGUUUGAUGAUGAAUAAUUGUCUAGACAAGAGAUUAAGUAAUUUUAUAAAUUUAAACUUUGUUUUAAA
Molecule: long non-coding RNA, 451 nt
Organism: Macrobrachium nipponense
Lineage: Eukaryota; Metazoa; Arthropoda; Malacostraca; Decapoda; Palaemonidae
Exons: 3
Source: RefSeq, a predicted model, not a curated record